UAGCUCAAUUGGUAGAGUGUUUGCCUACCAUGCAUAAGGCCCUAGGUUCAAUCCCCAG
This 58-nucleotide transfer RNA is filed under the name Ictidomys tridecemlineatus (thirteen-lined ground squirrel). Its description in RNAcentral is "Spermophilus tridecemlineatus (thirteen-lined ground squirrel) tRNA". It matches the Rfam family "tRNA", at positions 8 to 63 of the family's 71-position model. Rfam says of the family: Transfer RNA (tRNA) molecules are approximately 80 nucleotides in length. Their secondary structure includes four short double-helical elements and three loops (D, anti-codon, and T loops). The record is from Rfam by way of RNAcentral. Lineage: Eukaryota; Metazoa; Chordata; Mammalia; Rodentia; Sciuridae.